AACGAACGCUGGCGGCAUGCCUAACACAUGCAAGUCGAACGAGACCUUCGGGUCUAGUGGCGCACGGGUGCGUAACGCGUGGGAACCUGCCCUUAGGUUCGGCAUAACUCCCCGAAAGGGGUGCUAAUACCGGAUAAUGUCUUCGGACCAAAGAUUUAUCGCCUUUGGAUGGGCCAGCGUUGGAUUAGCUAGUUGGUAGGGUAAAAGCCUACCAAGGCGACGAUCCAUAGCUGGUCUGAGAGGAUGAUCAGCCACACUGGGACUGAGACACGGCCCAGACUCCUACGGGAGGCAGCAGUGGGGAAUAUUGGACAAUGGGCGGAAGCCUGAUCCAGCAAUGCCGCGUGAGUGAUGAAGGCCUUAGGGUUGUAAAGCUCUUUUACCCGGGAUGAUAAUGACAGUACCGGGAGAAUAAGCUCCGGCUAACUCCGUG
RNAcentral lists this ribosomal RNA (433 nucleotides) under uncultured bacterium. Its description in RNAcentral is "partial 16S ribosomal RNA". It matches the Rfam family "Bacterial small subunit ribosomal RNA", at positions 29 to 507 of the family's 1533-position model. The record is from RNAcentral.